This 83-nucleotide transfer RNA is filed under the name Blattella germanica (German cockroach). Its description in RNAcentral is "tRNA-Sup (CTA) (tRNA-Sup-CTA-5-1)". It matches the Rfam family "tRNA". From Rfam's summary of the family: Transfer RNA (tRNA) molecules are approximately 80 nucleotides in length. Their secondary structure includes four short double-helical elements and three loops (D, anti-codon, and T loops). Further hydrogen bonds mediate the characteristic L-shaped molecular structure. tRNAs have two regions of fundamental functional importance: the anti-codon, which is responsible for specific mRNA codon recognition, and the 3' end, to which the tRNAs corresponding amino acid is attached (by aminoacyl-tRNA synthetases). tRNAs cope with the degeneracy of the genetic code in two manners: having more than one tRNA (with a specific anti-codon) for a particular amino acid; and 'wobble' base-pairing, i.e. permitting non-standard base-pairing at the 3rd anti-codon position. The record is from RNAcentral. Lineage: Eukaryota; Metazoa; Arthropoda; Insecta; Blattodea; Blattellidae.
GUCAGAAUGGCCGAGCGGUCUAAGGCGCCAGACUCUAGUUUUGGUCCUCUUAGCGGGCGUGGGUUCUUAUCCCACUUCUGACA